UACGUAGGGCGCAAGCGUUGUCCGGAAUUAUUGGGCGUAAAGAGCUCGUAGGCGGCCAGUUGCGUCCGCUGUGAAAUCCCGGGGCUUAACCCCGGGCGUGCAGUGGAUACGGGCUGGCUAGAGGCAGGCAGGGGAGAACGGAAUUCCCGGUGUAGCGGUGAAAUGCGCAGAUAUCGGGAGGAACACCUGUGGCGAAGGCGGCCAUCUGGACAACUACUGACACUGAGACGCGAAAGCGUGGGUAGCAAACAGG
Molecule: ribosomal RNA, 253 nt
Filed under: uncultured bacterium
Lineage: Bacteria
Description: partial 16S ribosomal RNA
Rfam family: Bacterial small subunit ribosomal RNA
Source: RNAcentral